Molecule: long non-coding RNA, 341 nt
Organism: Polyodon spathula (Mississippi paddlefish)
Lineage: Eukaryota; Metazoa; Chordata; Actinopteri; Acipenseriformes; Polyodontidae
Exons: 2
Source: RefSeq, a predicted model, not a curated record
UGAUUCAGCGCUAACCACCACGCCACUGUGCCGUCCAACAAGUCAAGUUCAAACUUGCUUCUGAAAGUAACCCAAGAUGGCUGAGAGUGCAUCUGAGAGCAUGCACAACCCCAGAGAUUUGGGGGGCCUAGGCAGCCCCCAGACCCCCAGCCAAAAGAUUGGUUUUGUCCCAGGAGUUUCAGUCAAAAUUAUCAUUAGCCACUUUCACCCAUGUGCUUUUGUUUAUAGCCCACAAUUUUGACACUUUCAUGAAUGGAUGAUCAUACAGGUGCCUCCACUAUAUUCCCUUAACCAGGGAUCCACAUCCACAGAGGAUAAUAAAGGAGACAAUUAAGAAGGCU